AACGCACCUUGCGCUCCUUGGUAUUCCGAGGAGCACACCUGUUUGAGUGUCAUGAAAUUCUCAACCUUACAAACUUUUGUGUUUGAUUUGGCUUGGAGUUGGAGGCUUGCUGAUGGGAAAUUCCUUUGGCUCCUCUCAAAUGCAUUAGCUUGGUUCCUUGCGGAUUGGCUCCUGGUGUGAUAAAUGUUUACGCCGCAGCUGUUGAAGCGAUUUGGGCAAGCUCCUAACCGUCUCGAUAUUGAGAGACAGCUUUUUGAACAUGACAUCUGACCUCAAAUCAGGUGGGACUACCCGCUGAACUUAA
RNAcentral lists this unclassified non-coding RNA (304 nucleotides) under uncultured Polyporaceae. RNAcentral's name for it is "sequence contains ITS2". The stretch from base 1 to 52 matches the Rfam family "5.8S ribosomal RNA", at positions 103 to 154 of the family's 154-position model. The record is from RNAcentral. Lineage: Eukaryota; Fungi; Basidiomycota; Agaricomycetes; Polyporales; Polyporaceae.